CGUCGUCAGCUCGUGUCGUGAGAUGUUCGGUUAAGUCCGCUAACGAGCGCAACCCUCGCUGUGUGUUACAAGUGUCACACGGAACUGCCGGUCAUAAACCGGAGGAAGGUGGGGAUGACGUCAAGUCAGCAUGGCCUUUAUAUCCUGGGCUACACACACGCUACAAUGGGAAGGGACAAUAGGUUGCGAAGCCGCGAGGCGGAGCCAAUCCAGCAAAACUUCCCUCAGUUCAGAUUGCAGGCUGCAACUCGCCUGCAUGAAGUUGGAGUUGCUAGUAAACGCAGGUCAGCCAUACUGCGUUGAAUACGUUCCCGGGGCUU
RNAcentral lists this ribosomal RNA (320 nucleotides) under uncultured Anaerolineaceae bacterium. Its description in RNAcentral is "bacterial SSU rRNA". It matches the Rfam family "Bacterial small subunit ribosomal RNA", at positions 1050 to 1382 of the family's 1533-position model. The record is from RNAcentral. Lineage: Bacteria; Bacillati; Chloroflexota; Anaerolineae; Anaerolineales; Anaerolineaceae.